RNAcentral lists this ribosomal RNA (465 nucleotides) under uncultured bacterium. Its description in RNAcentral is "bacterial SSU rRNA". It matches the Rfam family "Bacterial small subunit ribosomal RNA", at positions 338 to 795 of the family's 1533-position model. The record is from RNAcentral.
CCUACGGGUGGCAGCAGUGGGGAAUUUUGGACAAUGGGGGCAACCCUGAUCCAGCCAUGCCGCGUGUGUGAAGAAGGCCUUCGGGUUGUAAAGCACUUUCGGACGGAACGAAAUCGCGCGGAUGAACAAUCCGCGUGGAUGACGGUACCGUAAGAAGAAGCACCGGCUAACUACGUGCCAGCAGCCGCGGUAAUACGUAGGGUGCGAGCGUUAAUCGGAAUUACUGGGCGUAAAGCGUGCGCAGGUGGCGCCGCAAGUCAGGCGUGAAAUCCCCGGGCUUAACUUGGGAAUUGCGCUUGAAACUACGGUGCUGGAGUGUGGUAGAGGGAGGUGGAAUUCCACGUGUAGCGGUGAAAUGCGUAGAGAUGUGGAGGAACACCGAUGGCGAAGGCAGCCUCCUGGGCCAACACUGACACUCAUGCACGAAAGCGUGGGGAGCAAACAGGAUUAGAUACCCUAGUAGUC